RNAcentral lists this ribosomal RNA (519 nucleotides) under uncultured bacterium. RNAcentral's name for it is "partial 16S ribosomal RNA". It matches the Rfam family "Bacterial small subunit ribosomal RNA", at positions 899 to 1397 of the family's 1533-position model. The record is from RNAcentral.
ACUCAAAUGAAUUGACGGGGGCUCACACAAGCGGUGGAGCAUGUGGCUUAAUUCGAGGCUACGCGAAGAACCUUAUCCUGGACUUGACAUGUGCGAAAGCGUCCGGAAGUAGGGGGCGGAAACGUUCCCCCAACGGUAUCCAGUCCGGAACCGGAUACAGGUGCUGCAUGGCUGUCGUCAGCUCGUGUCGUGAGAUGUUGGGUUAAGUCCCGUAACGAGCGAAACCCUUGUCGCCAGUUGCUACCCCUAUGGGGAGGACUCUGGCGAGACUGCCGGUGUUAAACCGGAGGAAGGCGGGGAUGACGUCAAGUCCUCAUGGCCUUUAUGUCCAGGGCUGCACACGUGCUACAAUGGCGUGAACAGAGGGAAGCCAACCCGCGAGGGGGAGCAAAUCCCAAAAAGCACGCCCCAGUUCAGAUUGAAGGCUGCAACUCGCCUUCAUGAAGUUGGAAUCGCUAGUAAUCGCGGGUCAGCAACACCGCGGUGAAUGUGUUCCUGAGCCUUGCACACACCGCCCGU